Molecule: long non-coding RNA, 949 nt
Organism: Pyrus x bretschneideri (Chinese white pear)
Lineage: Eukaryota; Viridiplantae; Streptophyta; Magnoliopsida; Rosales; Rosaceae
Exons: 8
Source: RefSeq, a predicted model, not a curated record
AAUUCCGUUUUUGUCCCUGCUACGAUAGAAAUCUCUCGAUUUCUUCGUGUUGUGUGCUUCCAGCAUCUUCCACUUUUCACUUUCCUCUUCUUUCCUUCUCUUUCCGUUUCUCUCAUCCUAGAACGGAAGAACGAUGGAAAAUCAGGGUUCUUCCAUUUGCUUCCACAGAUUUCUCGAUCUCUCUCGAGCUCCGGAUCCCUAGCCUCCGUAUGAAGGAAAUCGUCAAUCCUGCAGAAUCCUUGGGUUUCCUGAUUUCAUCGGCUAUUUCAUCAGUUUUUGGAUUCGAUCAGGAUCGGUUUUUUACCCACGAAAUCUAGAGUCUUUUGAUGGCUUUUUCUAGGUUCGGUGAAUUUACAGGGGAGAGGGAGAGAGAGGCCUGUUGAGACCUGGACUGUCGAAUGGAGAGGAUGAAAAGCAACUGCAGGAAAGCGGCAAUGGAGACCCGACAGCAGCAUUUUCAAGUCGAUCUGGAACUGGAGAGUGUGUUCUUUCCAAUCUUAAGCCAGGAAACAUGUGGAGUAUUAAGUCAGAAUGGUUCUUGCUGCUUCAGACAGUGGCCACACCACAGUGCUUAAAGAUUUGAAUUUUUUAAAGUGGUUCCACAAAACCUGCACAGUGGUUCCACAAAAAUCUGCAAAGUGGACGUUAUGUUGCUUGCAGCAGUAGAUUGUUCUUUUCUAUUUAAGUUUGACUGCUUCAACCAAAAAACUUUUGCUCAUGUGUUAAAGGAUGUUGGCAUCUGUUAUCCAAAACAAACAAGUAUGGAAUCACAUUUUUUUGUGCAAAUAGUUGAUCCAAACAUGAAUUAUCAAGGUGGAAUACUAGGUUAAUCAUUUUUGUAUACUAAUAAGGCAUUUGAUAAUGUCUUUUCUGUAAGUUAUAUAAAUUUUGACAGCUUUGUAAAUAUAUUUAUUCCAUUUUCUGUUUAGUAUUUAUAACACUUUGCAUA